UACGGAGGGUGCAAGCGUUAAUCGGACUUACUGGGCGUAAAGCGCACGUAGGUGGUUAGAUAAGUCGGAUGUGAAAGCCCCGGGCUCAACCUGGGAACUGCAUACGAUACUGUUUGACUAGAGUACAGUAGAGGAUAGAGGAAUUUCCGGUGUAGCGGUGAAAUGCGUAGAUAUCGGAAGGAACAUCAGUGGCGAAGGCGUCUAUCUGGACUGAUACUGACACUGAGGAGCGAAAGCGUGGGUAGCGAACAGG
This 253-nucleotide ribosomal RNA is filed under the name uncultured bacterium. Its description in RNAcentral is "partial 16S ribosomal RNA". It matches the Rfam family "Bacterial small subunit ribosomal RNA", at positions 524 to 776 of the family's 1533-position model. The record is from RNAcentral.